This 393-nucleotide ribosomal RNA is filed under the name uncultured bacterium. RNAcentral's name for it is "partial 16S ribosomal RNA". It matches the Rfam family "Bacterial small subunit ribosomal RNA", at positions 523 to 918 of the family's 1533-position model. The record is from RNAcentral.
AUACGGAGGAUCCGAGCGUUAUCCGGAUUUAUUGGGUUUAAAGGGUGCGCAGGCGGGAGAUUAAGUCGGCGGGGAAAUUUUGCAGCCCAACUGUAAAAGUGCCUUCGAAACUGGUUUCCUUGGGUGUAGAUGAAGUAGGCGGAAUUUGUGGUGUAGCGGUGAAAUGCAUAGAUAUAACGAGGAACUCCGAUUGCGCAGGCAGCUUACUAAACUACUACUGACGCUCAGGCACGAAGGCGUGGGGAUCAAACAGGAUUAGAUACCCUGGUAGUCCACGCAGUAAACGAUGAUUACUAGCUGUUUGCGAUACAAUGUAAGCGGCUGAGCGAAAGCGUUAAGUAAUCCACCUGGGGAGUACGUUCGCAAGAAUGAAACUCAAAUGAAUUGGCGGGG